UAUAUUUUUAUUAGUGCAAAGGCUCCAAUAGUUGGCACCUAAAGGAUAUCCUAAAGGGAGUCAAAUAACUAAAAAAAUAAGGAUUCCUAAUGCAAGUAGGAGUUGUAUUAAGUGGUUAUUUAGUUUUGAAUAGGAUUCAAACCUCAUGCCUAUUUAAAGGAGCCUUCUCUAAAGUCUCUAGGCACUUCAACCAGCAACCCUACGCCCCC
Molecule: long non-coding RNA, 209 nt
Filed under: Elaeis guineensis (African oil palm)
Lineage: Eukaryota; Viridiplantae; Streptophyta; Magnoliopsida; Arecales; Arecaceae
Description: long non-coding RNA (EGUI_LNC043991)
Source: RNAcentral